UACGUAGGGGGCAAGCGUUAUCCGGAUUUACUGGGUGUAAAGGGAGCGCAGACGGCCCGGCAAGUCUGAAGUGAAACCCCACCGCUCAACGGUGGGCUUGCUUUGGAAACUGUCAGGCUAGAGUACUGGAGAGGUAAGCGGAAUUCCUAGUGUAGCGGUGAAAUGCGUAGAUAUUAGGAGGAACAUCGGUGGCGAAGGCGGCUUACUGGACAGCAACUGACGUUGAGGCUCGAAGGCGUGGGGAG
This 245-nucleotide ribosomal RNA is filed under the name uncultured Butyrivibrio sp. Its description in RNAcentral is "partial 16S ribosomal RNA". It matches the Rfam family "Bacterial small subunit ribosomal RNA", at positions 524 to 768 of the family's 1533-position model. Lineage: Bacteria; Bacillati; Bacillota; Clostridia; Lachnospirales; Lachnospiraceae. The record is from RNAcentral.